AAUCAUGGAAUGACUCUCGGCAACGGAUAUCUAGGCUCUCGCAUCGAUGAAGAACGUAGCGAAAUGCGAUACGUGGUGUGAAUUGCAGAAUCCCGUGAACCAUCGAGUUUUUGAACGCAAGUUGCGCCCGAGGCCAUCUGGCCGAGGGCACGCCUGCCUGGGCGUCAGCU
Molecule: ribosomal RNA, 170 nt
Filed under: Juncus pelocarpus
Lineage: Eukaryota; Viridiplantae; Streptophyta; Magnoliopsida; Poales; Juncaceae
Description: 5.8S ribosomal RNA
Rfam family: 5.8S ribosomal RNA
About the family: 5.8S ribosomal RNA (5.8S rRNA) is a component of the large subunit of the eukaryotic ribosome.
Source: RNAcentral